This 468-nucleotide ribosomal RNA is filed under the name uncultured bacterium. RNAcentral's name for it is "partial 16S ribosomal RNA". It matches the Rfam family "Bacterial small subunit ribosomal RNA", at positions 28 to 507 of the family's 1533-position model. The record is from RNAcentral.
GACGAACGCUGGCGGCGUGCUUAACACAUGCAAGUCGAACGGAAAGGCCCGGCUUUUGUUGGGUGCUCGAGUGGCGAACGGGUGAGUAACACGUGAGUAACCUGCCCUUGACUUUGGGAUAACUUCAGGAGACUGGGGCGAAUACCGGAUAGGAUCUCCUGCUGCAUGGGGGGGGUUGGAAAGUUUCGGCGGUUUGGGAUGUACUCGCUGCUUAUCAGCUUGGUGGGGGGGUAGUGGCUUCCCAAGGGUUUGACGGGUAGCCGGCCUGGGAGGGUUAACGGCGUCAUGGGGCCUGCGGUACGGCGCAGAAUGGAACGGGAGGCAGUGGUGGGGAGUCUUGCGGAAUGGGGCGACGCGUGAUGUAGAAACCCCGGGUGCGGGAUACUGGCUUUCGGGUUGUAAACAGCUUUCGCAUGUGCCGAAGCGUGCGUGACGGUACUGGGUCAAGAAGCCCCGGCUAACUACGUG